RNAcentral lists this ribosomal RNA (490 nucleotides) under uncultured bacterium. RNAcentral's name for it is "partial 16S ribosomal RNA". It matches the Rfam family "Bacterial small subunit ribosomal RNA", at positions 30 to 507 of the family's 1533-position model. The record is from RNAcentral.
AUUGAACGCUGGCGGCAGGCCUAACACAUGCAAGUCGAACGGUAACAGGAAGCAGCUUGCUGCUUUGCUGACGAGUGGCGGACGGGUGAGUAAUGUCUGGGAAACUGCCUGAUGGAGGGGGAUAACUACUGGAAACGGUAGCUAAUACCGCAUAACGUCGCAAGACCAAAGAGGGGGACCUUCGGGCCUCUUGCCAUCGGAUGUGCCCAGAUGGGAUUAGCUUGUAGGUGGGGUAACGGCUCACCUAGGCGACGAUCCCUAGCUGGUGUGAGAGGAUGACCAGCCACACUGGAACUGAGACACGGUCCAGACUCCUGCGGGAGGCAGCAGUGGGGAAUAUUGCACAGUGGGCGCAAGCCUGAUGCAGCCAUGCCGCGUGUAUGAAGGAGGCCUUCGGGUUGUAAAGUACUUUCAGCGGGGAGGAAGGGAGUAAAGUUAAUACCUUGGCUCAUUGACGUUACCCGCAGAAGAAGCACCGGCUAACUCCGUG